AGAUGGCGACCGGCGCACGGGUGAGUAACACGUAUCCAACCUGCCGAUAACUCGGGGAUAGCCUUUCGAAAGAAAGAUUAAUACCCGAUGGUAUAAUCAGACCGCGUGGUCUUGUUAUUAAAGAAUUUCGGUUAUCGAUGGGAUGCGUUCCAUUAGGCAGUUGGUGAGGUAACGGCUCACCAAACCUUCGAUGGAUAGGGGUUCUGAGAGGAAGGUCCCCCACAUUGGAACUGAGACACGGUCCAA
Molecule: ribosomal RNA, 246 nt
Filed under: uncultured bacterium
Lineage: Bacteria
Description: partial 16S ribosomal RNA
Rfam family: Bacterial small subunit ribosomal RNA
Source: RNAcentral